GAUCAUAGCUCAGAUUGAACGCUGGCGGCAGGCCUAACACAUGCAAGUCGAACGGUAACAGGAAACAGCUUGCUGUUUCGCUGACGAGUGGCGGACGGGUGAGUAAUGUCUGGGAAACUGCCUGAUGGGAGGGGGAUAACUACUGGAAACGGUAGCUAAUACCGCAUAACGUCGCAAGACCAAAGAGGGGGACCUUCGGGCCUCUUGCCAUCGGAUGUGCCCAGAUGGGAUUAGCUAGUAGGUGGGG
RNAcentral lists this ribosomal RNA (247 nucleotides) under uncultured bacterium. RNAcentral's name for it is "partial 16S ribosomal RNA". It matches the Rfam family "Bacterial small subunit ribosomal RNA", at positions 15 to 257 of the family's 1533-position model. The record is from RNAcentral.